This 466-nucleotide ribosomal RNA is filed under the name uncultured bacterium. RNAcentral's name for it is "partial 16S ribosomal RNA". It matches the Rfam family "Bacterial small subunit ribosomal RNA", at positions 339 to 795 of the family's 1533-position model. The record is from RNAcentral.
CUACGGGCUGCUGCAGUGGGGAAUAUUGGACAAUGGGGGCAACCCUGAUCCAGCAACGCCGCGUGAGCGAUGAAGGCUUUCGAGUCGUAAAGCUCUGUCAGGAGGGACGAGACUUAAAGGGGAACAAUACCCUCUUUAAUUGACUUAACCUCCAGAGGAAGCACCGGCUAACUCUGUGCCAGCAGCCGCGGUAAUACAGAGGGUGCUAGCGUUGUUCGGAGUUACUGGGCGUAAAGCGCGUGCAGGCGGAUAGAGUAGUCAGGUGCGAAAGCCCCAGGCUCAACCGGGGAAUUGCGCUUGAAACCAUCUAUCUGGAGUAUGGUAGGGGAGCGGGGAAUUCUCGGUGUAGAGGUGAAAUUCGUAGAGAUCGAGAGGAACACCAGUGGCGAAGGCGCCGCUCUGGGCCACUACUGACGCUCAUACGCGAAAGCAUGGGUAGCAAACAGGAUUAGAUACCCGUGUAGUC